Molecule: ribosomal RNA, 1224 nt
Filed under: Escherichia coli
Lineage: Bacteria; Pseudomonadati; Pseudomonadota; Gammaproteobacteria; Enterobacterales; Enterobacteriaceae
Description: partial 23S ribosomal RNA
Rfam family: Bacterial large subunit ribosomal RNA
Source: RNAcentral
UUAAGCGUGUAGGCUGGUUUUCCAGGCAAAUCCGGAAAAUCAAGGCUGAGGCGUGAUGACGAGGCACUACGGUGCUGAAGCAACAAAUGCCCUGCUUCCAGGAAAAGCCUCUAAGCAUCAGGUAACAUCAAAUCGUACCCCAAACCGACACAGGUGGUCAGGUAGAGAAUACCAAGGCGCUUGAGAGAACUCGGGUGAAGGAACUAGGCAAAAUGGUGCCGUAACUUCGGGAGAAGGCACGCUGAUAUGUAGGUGAAGCGACUUGCUCGUGGAGCUGAAAUCAGUCGAAGAUACCAGCUGGCUGCAACUGUUUAUUAAAAACACAGCACUGUGCAAACACGAAAGUGGACGUAUACGGUGUGACGCCUGCCCGGUGCCGGAAGGUUAAUUGAUGGGGUUAGCGCAAGCGAAGCUCUUGAUCGAAGCCCCGGUAAACGGCGGCCGUAACUAUAACGGUCCUAAGGUAGCGAAAUUCCUUGUCGGGUAAGUUCCGACCUGCACGAAUGGCGUAAUGAUGGCCAGGCUGUCUCCACCCGAGACUCAGUGAAAUUGAACUCGCUGUGAAGAUGCAGUGUACCCGCGGCAAGACGGAAAGACCCCGUGAACCUUUACUAUAGCUUGACACUGAACAUUGAGCCUUGAUGUGUAGGAUAGGUGGGAGGCUUUGAAGUGUGGACGCCAGUCUGCAUGGAGCCGACCUUGAAAUACCACCCUUUAAUGUUUGAUGUUCUAACGUUGACCCGUAAUCCGGGUUGCGGACAGUGUCUGGUGGGUAGUUUGACUGGGGCGGUCUCCUCCUAAAGAGUAACGGAGGAGCACGAAGGUUGGCUAAUCCUGGUCGGACAUCAGGAGGUUAGUGCAAUGGCAUAAGCCAGCUUGACUGCGAGCGUGACGGCGCGAGCAGGUGCGAAAGCAGGUCAUAGUGAUCCGGUGGUUCUGAAUGGAAGGGCCAUCGCUCAACGGAUAAAAGGUACUCCGGGGAUAACAGGCUGAUACCGCCCAAGAGUUCAUAUCGACGGCGGUGUUUGGCACCUCGAUGUCGGCUCAUCACAUCCUGGGGCUGAAGUAGGUCCCAAGGGUAUGGCUGUUCGCCAUUUAAAGUGGUACGCGAGCUGGGUUUAGAACGUCGUGAGACAGUUCGGUCCCUAUCUGCCGUGGGCGCUGGAGAACUGAGGGGGGCUGCUCCUAGUACGAGAGGACCGGAGUGGACGCAUCACUGGUGUU